ACUCCUACGGGAGGCAGCAGUAGGGAAUCUUCGGCAAUGGACGGAAGUCUGACCGAGCAACGCCGCGUGAGUGAAGAAGGUUUUCGGAUCGUAAAGCUCUGUUGUAAGAGAAGAACGAGUGUGAGAGUGGAAAGUUCACACUGUGACGGUAUCUUACCAGAAAGGGACGGCUAACUACGUGCCAGCAGCCGCGGUAAUACGUAGGUCCCGAGCGUUGUCCGGAUUUAUUGGGCGUAAAGCGAGCGCAGGCGGUUAGAUAAGUCUGAAGUUAAAGGCUGUGGCUUAACCAUAGUAGGCUUUGGAAACUGUUUAACUUGAGUGCAAGAGGGGAGAGUGGAAUUCCAUGUGUAGCGGUGAAAUGCGUAGAUAUAUGGAGGAACACCGGUGGCGAAAGCGGCUCUCUGGCUUGUAACUGACGCUGAGGCCCGAAAGCGUGGGGAGCAAACAGGAUUAGAUACCCUGGUAGUCCACGCUGUAAACGAUGAGUGCUAGGUGUUAGACCCUUUCCGGGGUUUAGUGCCGUAGCUAACGCAUUAAGCACUCCGCCUGGGGAGUACGACCGCAAGGUUGAAACUCAAAGGAAUUGACGGGGGCCCGCACAGGCGGUGGAGCAUGUGGUUUAAUUCGAAGCAACGCGAAGAACCUUACCAGGUCUUGACAU
RNAcentral lists this ribosomal RNA (661 nucleotides) under uncultured Streptococcus sp. RNAcentral's name for it is "bacterial SSU rRNA". It matches the Rfam family "Bacterial small subunit ribosomal RNA", at positions 335 to 987 of the family's 1533-position model. Lineage: Bacteria; Bacillati; Bacillota; Bacilli; Lactobacillales; Streptococcaceae. The record is from RNAcentral.